Molecule: ribosomal RNA, 254 nt
Filed under: uncultured bacterium
Lineage: Bacteria
Description: partial 16S ribosomal RNA
Rfam family: Bacterial small subunit ribosomal RNA
Source: RNAcentral
UACGUAGGGGGCAAGCGUUGUCCGGAAUUAUUGGGCGUAAAGAGCGUGUAGGCGGUCCGGUAAGUCAGCUGUGAAAGUCAAGGGCUCAACCCUUGAAAGCCGGUUGAUACUGUCGGGCUAGAGUCCGGAAGAGGCGAGUGGAAUUCCCGGUGUAGCGGUGAAAUGCGCAGAUAUCGGGAGGAACACCAAUGGCGAAGGCAGCUCGCUGGGACGGUACUGACGCUGAGACGCGAAAGCGUGGGGAGCAAACAGGG